This 163-nucleotide small RNA is filed under the name Neogale vison (American mink). RNAcentral's name for it is "Neovison vison (American mink) TUC338 (ENSNVIG00000024053.1)". The record is from RNAcentral. Lineage: Eukaryota; Metazoa; Chordata; Mammalia; Carnivora; Mustelidae.
UUGCCAGCUCUGGAAGCUGAAGCACUUUCUUAUUCUCAUACCAGAUAGAGCAGGAGCAGUGACAGUCACAGCCUGUCUCAUGCUCUUCCCUUCCGUGGUUCAGUCCUGUUGAGAAGGACAGGAAGGUAGUUAGGUUCCACAGCCUGUUCGGUCUCUGGUCCCA